CCUACGGGUGGCAGCAGUGAGGAAUAUUGGUCAAUGGACGCAAGUCUGAACCAGCCAUGCCGCGUGCAGGAAGACGGCUCUAUGAGUUGUAAACUGCUGUUGUACGAGGGUAAACGCAGAUACGCGUAUCUGUCUGAAAGUAUCGUACGAAUAAGGAUCGGCUAACUCCGUGCCAGCAGCCGCGGUAAUACGGAGGAUUCAAGCGUUAUCCGGAUUUAUUGGGUUUAAAGGGUGCGUAGGCGGUCGGAUGAGUUAGCGGUGAAAUCCCGAGUCUCAACUUCGGAAUUGCCUCUGAUACUGUUCGGCUAGAGCGUAGUUGCGGUAGGCGGAAUGUAUGGUGUAGCUGUGAAAUGCUUAGAGAUCAUACAGAACACCGAUUGCGAAGGCAGCUUACCAAGCUACUUCUGACGUUGAGGCACGAAAGCGUGGGGAGCAAACAGGAUUAGAUACCCCAGUAGUC
RNAcentral lists this ribosomal RNA (460 nucleotides) under uncultured bacterium. RNAcentral's name for it is "partial 16S ribosomal RNA". It matches the Rfam family "Bacterial small subunit ribosomal RNA", at positions 338 to 795 of the family's 1533-position model. The record is from RNAcentral.